UGGACUUUGCAGGGCCUGGGCUGUUUGGCAGAUUUCGUCUGACAUCAGUGCCUGUCUGAUGGUGGUGGAGUUGGGACAAGUGGUGAUGCUGUCAGAAUUGGCAUGGAGUGUAGACUACUAAAGCUCGUAGUCCGGAGGAAGAGGAGCAGGAGUAAAUUAUAGGCUUUCAAUCUGAGGCAGAACUACACUGCAAUCCAUAUGGAAGAUGGAAAGGCCCUUGAAGACUUCUAGUAAAAGUUGUCUUCUCAUAAGGCCAAGUUCUCCAAUUAUUUAGUCUUUAAAUGCAACUAAAAAUAACCAUCUUUAAUUAUCAUAUUUAAAACUACCACCAGAAACUGGCUAGCUAGGAAUGUGUCUUAUCGGUGCUUUCCUUCUGAAGACCCUGGUUUGUCAAAAAAGAUGACCUUCCAUGUCCCAAGUUAUGGCUGCAACUGGAACGUCCCAAAGACUUCUGGAUCUAUACAGUCAACUCAGGACUUUCUCCAGAAUUCCGUGCCUGCAUUCUGAACUGCCAGCUGUUCACCACUACAGAUAUUUAAACUGCGUACACGAAGAGCUGAACUCAUCAAGUUUCCUUCACACAAAUCUUAAUGAAAGGCACCCCCACUCAUAC
RNAcentral lists this long non-coding RNA (613 nucleotides) under Equus asinus (donkey). RNAcentral's name for it is "lncRNA (ENSEASG00005028672.1)". The record is from RNAcentral. Lineage: Eukaryota; Metazoa; Chordata; Mammalia; Perissodactyla; Equidae.